GAAGCUGCAAUCGCCGCCGAUGUAUUUCUGAAUAGCUACUGGGAGGAGGACAAAUCCCACCAGACUUGGCUCUAAUUGAAGUUAUCAUAAGAGUUUGCAUCGUGGAUGCCGUUGACGGUGGGCAUACAUGCUAUAGUGGAGCUCAUUGCAUCUUUGAGCUUCAUGCUUUGUGUGAACUUGGAACUCGUGCUUUUGUUUGUGAACCUUGUUGGAUAUGUACGCAUGUGUGGACUCGGAACUUAUGGUCCUUUUGUUUGCGAACUAUUGUUGCAUAUGUACGCAUGUGUGGACUUUCGUUGGAUAUAUAUUGCUUGCUGGAUCUAUAUA
Non-coding RNA from Triticum urartu, 327 nucleotides. NCBI's taxonomy places the organism in Eukaryota, Viridiplantae, Streptophyta, Magnoliopsida, Poales, Poaceae. The record is from RefSeq and is a predicted model, not a curated record.